RNAcentral lists this ribosomal RNA (465 nucleotides) under uncultured bacterium. RNAcentral describes it as "partial 16S ribosomal RNA". It matches the Rfam family "Bacterial small subunit ribosomal RNA", at positions 28 to 507 of the family's 1533-position model. The record is from RNAcentral.
GACGAACGCUGGCGGCGUGCUUAACACAUGCAAGUCGAACGGAAAGGCCCUGCUUGCCGGGUACUCGAGUGGCGAACGGGUGAGUAACACGUGGGUGAUCUGCCCUGCACUUCGGGAUAAGCCUGGGAAACUGGGUCUAAUACCGGAUAGGAGCCAUUUUUAGUGUGAUGGUUGGAAAGUUUUUUCGGUGUAGGAUGAGCUCGCGGCCUAUCAGCUUGUUGGUGCGGUAAUGGCCUACCAAGGCGGCGACGGGUAGCCGGCCUGAGAGGGUGGACGGCCACAUUGGGACUGAGAUACGGCCCAGACUCCUACGGGAGGCAGCAGUGGGGAAUAUUGCACAAUGGGCGCAAGCCUGAUGCAGCGACGCCGCGUGGGGGAUGACGGCCUUCGGGUUGUAAACUCCUUUCGCUAGGGACGAAGCUUUUUGUGACGGUACCUAGAUAAGAAGCACCGGCUAACUACGUG